AAGUCGUAACAAGGUUUCCGUAGGUGAACCUGCGGAAGGAUCAUUAUCGAAUAUCUAUGGCGUUGGUUGUAGCUGGCUCCUAGGAGCAUUGUGCACGCCCGUCAUUCAUAUCUUUCCACCUGUGAACCAUGUGUAGGCCUGGAUACCCCUCGCUUUGGCAACAAAGCGGAUGCAAGGAUUGCUGCGCCGACUAGGCCGGCUCUCUUUGAAUUUCCAGGUUCUAUGUCUUUUUACACACCCCAUUUGAAUGAUUUAGAAUGUGUAAUCAAUGGGCUUUCAUGCCUAUAAAAAACUAUACAACUUUCAGCAACGGAUCUCUUGGCUCUC
RNAcentral lists this unclassified non-coding RNA (327 nucleotides) under Candolleomyces candolleanus. RNAcentral's name for it is "Psathyrella candolleana partial internal transcribed spacer region". The stretch from base 1 to 46 matches the Rfam family "Eukaryotic small subunit ribosomal RNA", at positions 1786 to 1831 of the family's 1831-position model. Lineage: Eukaryota; Fungi; Basidiomycota; Agaricomycetes; Agaricales; Psathyrellaceae. The record is from RNAcentral. RNAcentral also lists the same sequence under 1 other name.